GUGGGGAAUAUUGGACAAUGGGCGAAAGCCUGAUCCAGCCAUGCCGCGUGAGUGAUGAAGGCCUUAGGGUUGUAAAGCUCUUUCGCCGAGGACGAUAAUGACGGUACUCGGAUAAGAAGCCCCGGCUAACUUCGUGCCAGCAGCCGCGGUAAUACGAAGGGGGCUAGCGUUGUUCGGAAUUACUGGGCGUAAAGCGUAUGUAGGCGGGUCGUUAAGUUAGGGGUGAAAUCCCAAGGCUCAACCUUGGAACUGCCCUUGAUACUGGCGAUCUUGAGUCCGGGAGAGGUGAGUGGAACUGCGAGUGUAGAGGUGAAAUUCGUAGAUAUUCGCAAGAACACCAGUGGCGAAGGCGGCUCACUGGCCCGGUACUGACGCUGAGAUACGAAAGCGUGGGGAGCAAACAGGAUUAGAUACCCGGGUAGUCC
Molecule: ribosomal RNA, 425 nt
Filed under: uncultured bacterium
Lineage: Bacteria
Description: bacterial SSU rRNA
Rfam family: Bacterial small subunit ribosomal RNA
Source: RNAcentral